GCCGGGCGUGGUGGCACGCGCCUGUAGUCUCAGCUACUUGGGAGGCUGAGGCUGGAGGAUCGCUUGAGCUCAGGAGUUCUGGGCUGCAGUGCGCUAUGCCGAUCGGGUAUCCGCACUAAGUUCGGCAUCAAUAUGGUGACCUCCCGGGAGCAGGGGACCACCAGGUUGCCUAAGGAGGGGUGAACCGGCACAGGUCGGAAACAAAAAUUACAGUCAUUUAUCUGGAACCAGAAAAUACCUAGAAUCGCCAAAACUAUCUGGAGGAAAAGAAACAGAAAU
RNAcentral lists this signal recognition particle RNA (279 nucleotides) under Erinaceus europaeus (western European hedgehog). RNAcentral's name for it is "Metazoan signal recognition particle RNA". It matches the Rfam family "Metazoan signal recognition particle RNA", at positions 1 to 216 of the family's 299-position model. Rfam says of the family: The signal recognition particle (SRP) is a universally conserved ribonucleoprotein. It is involved in the co-translational targeting of proteins to membranes. The record is from Rfam by way of RNAcentral. Lineage: Eukaryota; Metazoa; Chordata; Mammalia; Eulipotyphla; Erinaceidae.